RNAcentral lists this transfer RNA (72 nucleotides) under Candidatus Omnitrophota bacterium. Its description in RNAcentral is "Candidatus Omnitrophica bacterium (groundwater metagenome) tRNA-Arg". It matches the Rfam family "tRNA". From Rfam's summary of the family: Transfer RNA (tRNA) molecules are approximately 80 nucleotides in length. Their secondary structure includes four short double-helical elements and three loops (D, anti-codon, and T loops). Lineage: Bacteria; Pseudomonadati; Candidatus Omnitrophota. The record is from RNAcentral.
GCGCCUGUCGCCUAAUGGAUAGGGCAACAGCCUCCGGAGCUGUCGGUGCAGGUUCGAAUCCCGCCAGGCGCA